Molecule: long non-coding RNA, 1054 nt
Organism: Mytilus trossulus (common blue mussel)
Lineage: Eukaryota; Metazoa; Mollusca; Bivalvia; Mytilida; Mytilidae
Exons: 3
Source: RefSeq, a predicted model, not a curated record
GCAAUUGGGACAACAUCCCUAAUGCGCCUUGAAAUGAGGAACUCAAAAGUCACGUGUAAAGAAAAAAUCUCUGUGUAGUGAUAUUGGACAUGUUUCUAUUUUUAGCAAAUGACUGAACUUAAUUAUUUGUAGUGAUUAGGAAAGUAGAGGAACAUAGAAUAAAAGUGUAAAAACUAUGGAGCUAUUGAAUGUGUUCAAAAUAUUAAAUUUUCAAAGAACUUAUUGUGUUAAAAAGGGGAUAUUUUACCACAAGGAGCCGCAUCACAACAGGAUGUUCGGGGUUUGCUAAUUUACGGAAAAAGUAAUCUCACUUCGUACCCCGAAAAUUUAACCACAUAUGUGAAAAUGUCACAGCUUCGAAACAAGCUAUCAUACAUAUCCAAGUUAACGAUAUGGACUGAGCUACAGGAAAAAACGUUACCAUUACUGCCUAUGUAAAAACAAUUAAAGAUUUUGACCCAAAUUAGAAGCACAAUUCCAGAGGUUGUCAGACUGAUUUAUGGAUGAUUUCACCUUGUACACCACCGAAAAUGAUGUUCCAGACAUAUCAUUAUUUUUCAAUCUGAGAUGGCAAACUAGAGGUUUUAAAAAGUCCUGAAUAACUGAAAUGGACAAAAAUACAAAGAUUUAUUCAGAAUAUUAUACCGAUGAAGAUCACAUAAAAAUAUUUGGAAAAAUCAGAAGUAUGGAUUACAAUAUGGGACAACAUCCCUAAUGCGCCUUGAAAUGAGGAACUCAAAAGUCACGUGUAAAGAAAAAAUCUCUGUGUAGUGAUAUUGGACAUGUUUCUAUUUUUAGCAAAUGACUGAACUUAAUUAUUUGUAGUGAUUAGGAAAGUAGAGGAACAUAGAAUAAAUGUGUAAAAACUAUGGAGCUAUUGAAUGUGUUCAAAGUAUUAAAUUUUUAAAGAACUUAUUGUGUUAAAAAGGGGAUAUUUUACCACAAGGAGCCGCAUCACAACAGGAUGUUCGGGGUUUGCUAAUUUACGGAAAAAGUAAUCUCACUUCGUACCCCGAAAAUUUAACCACAUAUGUGAAAAUGUCACAGCUUCGAA